UCUUUGUUUAAAACUUAUUGACGUGCUUGCACUGAUUUAAGUUUUGGACGCUAGAUAGCGGCAAACGGGUGAGUAACGCGUGAGCAAUUUUCCUUUAAGUCAAGCAUAGCUUCGUGAAAACGGAGGUAAUACUUGAUGUGGCCUUAGAAUCGCAUGGUUCUUGGUUAAAGGUGGGGACCUUCGGGCCCACCGCUUAAUGAUAAGCUCGCGUCCUAUCAGCUUGUUGGUGAGGUAACGGCUCACCAAGGCAUUUGACGGGUAGCUGGUCUGAGAGGAUGUCCAGCCACACUGGGACUGAGACACUGCCCAGACUCCUACGGGAGGCUGCAGUCGAGAAUAUUUAGCAAUGGACGAAAGUCUGACUAUGCGACGCCGCGUGCAGGAUGAAGGUUUUCGGAUUGUAAACUGCUUUUAUCAGGAAAGAACCCUUGUCGGUUAAUAUCCGGCAAGCUGACGGUACCUGAUGAAUAAGCCACGGCUAACUCCGUGCCAGCAGCCGCGGUAAUACGGAGGUGGCAAGCGUUACUCGGAAUCAUUGGGUGUAAAGGGCAAGUAGGCGGUCUAGUAAGCGAGGGGUGAAAUCUUCCGACUCAAUCGGAAAACUGCCUUUCGAACUGCUAGACUUGAGGUAAACAGAGGGAAAUGGAAUUUCCGGUGUAAGGGUGAAAUCUGUAGAUAUCGGAAAGAACACCAACGGCGAAGGCAAUUUCCUGGGUUUAUCCUGACGCUAAACUGCGAAAGCUAGGGUAGCAAACAGAAUUAGAUACUCUGGUAGUCCUAGCUGUAAACGAUGAGUACUAGGUGUUGGAUCCUUGGAUUCGGUGCCGCAGCUAACGCAUUAAGUACUCCACCUGGGGACUACGGUCGCAAGGCUAAAACUCAAAGGAAUUGACGGGGGCCCGCACAAGCGGUGGAACAUGUGGUUUAAUUCGAUGAUACGCGAAAAACCUCACCAAGGCUUGACAUAUAAGAAGUAGUGAACCGAAAGGGGAACGAGCCGUCAAGUCCGGCAACUUAUACAGGUGCUGCAUGGCUGUCGUCAGCUCGUGUCGUGAGAUGUUGGGUUAAGUCCCGCAACGAGCGCAACCAUUGCCCUAUGUUGCCACCAUAUCUCGUCUUCGGACAUAGAUAUGAGCACUCUUAGGGGACUGCCCGGGAUAACUGGGAGGAAGGUGGAGAUGACGUCAAGUCAGUACGGCCCUUAUGCCUUGGGCGACACACGUGUUACAAUGGUCGAUACAAAGGGUUGCCAACCCGCGAGGGGGAGCUAAUCUCUAAAAGUCGACCUCAGUUCGGAUUGGAGUCUGCAAUUCGACUCCAUGAAGCCGGAAUCGCUAGUAAUGGGAGAUCAGCACGCUCCCGUGAAUACGUUCCCGGGCCUUGUACACACCGCCCGUCAAGCGAUGGGAGCCGGGGGUACCCGAAGUCCUAUGUAGAUAGGCCGAAGGUAAAUCUGGUGACUGGCGCUAAGUCGGAACAAGGUA
Molecule: ribosomal RNA, 1484 nt
Filed under: metagenome
Description: bacterial SSU rRNA
Rfam family: Bacterial small subunit ribosomal RNA
Source: RNAcentral